Molecule: ribosomal RNA, 253 nt
Filed under: uncultured bacterium
Lineage: Bacteria
Description: partial 16S ribosomal RNA
Rfam family: Bacterial small subunit ribosomal RNA
Source: RNAcentral
CACGUAGGAGGCGAGCGUUGUCCGGAAUCAUUGGGCGUAAAGAGCGCGCAGGCGGCUUGGCAAGUCGGGUGUGAAAUCCCGGGGCUCAACCCCGUGACUGCAUCCGAUACUGUCAGGCUAGAGGUAGGUAGGGGAGAUCGGAAUUCCUGGUGUAGCGGUGAAAUGCGCAGAUAUCAGGAGGAACACCAAUAGCGAAGGCAGCUCGCUGGGACGGUACUGACGCUAAGGCGCGAAAGCGUGGGGAGCGAACAGG